GCGGAAGUGGUGUAAUGUAACACACUCGGUCACCAGCCGAGAGAUUGAAGGUUCAAGUCCUUCCUUUCGCU
Molecule: transfer RNA, 71 nt
Filed under: Cytobacillus depressus
Lineage: Bacteria; Bacillati; Bacillota; Bacilli; Caryophanales; Bacillaceae
Rfam family: tRNA
About the family: Transfer RNA (tRNA) molecules are approximately 80 nucleotides in length.
Source: Rfam by way of RNAcentral